Molecule: small nucleolar RNA, 92 nt
Organism: Humulus lupulus (European hop)
Lineage: Eukaryota; Viridiplantae; Streptophyta; Magnoliopsida; Rosales; Cannabaceae
Product: small nucleolar RNA snoR109
Exons: 1
Source: RefSeq, a predicted model, not a curated record
AGGCUGUAGCCUAAAUUAAACCUGCUGGGGAGUUUACUGGCAGGUUGUUGUGAUUACCGUCGACUAAUCUGCCUACCGAGCUUCUCUCAUUU